AAUAUUUCACAAUGGGUGAAAGCGUGAUGCAGCAACGCCGCGUGAGCGAAGAAGGCCUUCGGGUCGUAAAGCUCUGUCCUAAGGGAAGAAAUUUUGACGGUACGUUAGGAGGAAGCCCCGGCUAACUACGUGCCAGCAGCCGCGGUAAUACGUAGGGGGCGAGCGUUAUCCGGAAUCACUGGGCGUAAAGGGUGCGUAGGCGGCCAAAUAAGCCAGAGGUGAAAGGCUACGGCUUAACCGUAGUAAGCCUUUGGAACUGUAUGGCUUGAGUGCAGGAGAGGAGAGUGGAAUUCCUAGUGUAGCGGUGAAAUGCGUAGAUAUUAGGAGGAACACCAGUGGCGAAGGCGACUCUCUGGACUGCAACUGACGCUGAGGCACGAAAGCGUGGGGAGCGAACGGGAUUAGAUACCCUGGUAGUCCACGCCGUA
This 428-nucleotide ribosomal RNA is filed under the name uncultured marine bacterium. Its description in RNAcentral is "bacterial SSU rRNA". It matches the Rfam family "Bacterial small subunit ribosomal RNA", at positions 360 to 804 of the family's 1533-position model. The record is from RNAcentral.